GGCUUCGUAGCUCAGCUGGUAAAGAGCUUGCCGCUUUGAAAUACGGUGCUUCUGCCGCUGGUUUGAAUCCAGUCGGAGCUC
This is a non-coding RNA of Paragonimus skrjabini miyazakii, 81 nucleotides long. The record is from the annotation of a GenBank genome assembly. Lineage: Eukaryota; Metazoa; Platyhelminthes; Trematoda; Plagiorchiida; Troglotrematidae.